Molecule: ribosomal RNA, 409 nt
Filed under: bacterium
Lineage: Bacteria
Description: partial 16S ribosomal RNA
Rfam family: Bacterial small subunit ribosomal RNA
Source: RNAcentral
UGGGGAAUAUUGCACAAUGGGCGAAAGCCUGAUGCAGCGACGCCGCGUGAGGGAUGACGGCCUUCGGGUUGUAAACCUCUUUCAGCAGGGACGAAGCGCAAGUGACGGUACCUGCAGAAGAAGCACCGGCUAACUACGUGCCAGCAGCCGCGGUAAUACGGAGGGUGCAAGCGUUGUCCGGAAUUACUGGGCGUAAAGAGUUCGUAGGCGGUUUGUCGCGUCGUUUGUGAAAACCAGCAGCUCAACUGCUGGCUUGCAGGCGAUACGGGCAGACUUGAGUAGUGCAGGGGAGACUGGAAUUCCUGGUGUAGCGGUGAAAUGCGGAGAUAUCAGGAGGAACACCGGUGGCGAAGGCGGGUCUCUGGGCAGUAACUGACGCUGAGGAACGAAAGCGUGGGUAGCGAACAGG